GAUGAACGCUGGCGGCGUGCCUAAUACAUGCAAGUCGAACGAAAAGACGCGGCUCUUGCUGCUCUGUCGAUAGCGGCGGGCGGGUGAGUCACACGUGGAACCCCUACCUAUAAGAGUGGGAUAACUUCGGGAAACCGGAGCUAAUACCGGAUAAUAUCUUGAACCGCAUGGUUCAAUAGAGAAUGUCGGCUUUGCUGUCACUUAUCGAUGGAUCUGCGCCGGAUUGGCUAGUCGGUAAGGUAAACGCUUAUCAAGGCGACGCUGCGUAGCCGACCUGAUGGGGUGGUCGGCCACACUGGAACUGAGCCACGGUCCAGACGCCUACGAGAGGCACCAGUAGGGAAUCUGAGGCAAUGGGCGAAAGUCUGACAGAGCGGCGCGGCGUGAGAUAUGAAGAUCUUCGGAGCGUAAAACUCUGUUAUUGGGGAUGAACAAAUGUGUAAGGAACUAUGCACGGAUUGACGGUACCUAAUCAGAAAGCCACGGCUAACUACGUG
This 497-nucleotide ribosomal RNA is filed under the name uncultured bacterium. RNAcentral's name for it is "partial 16S ribosomal RNA". It matches the Rfam family "Bacterial small subunit ribosomal RNA", at positions 28 to 507 of the family's 1533-position model. The record is from RNAcentral.